This 465-nucleotide ribosomal RNA is filed under the name uncultured bacterium. RNAcentral describes it as "partial 16S ribosomal RNA". It matches the Rfam family "Bacterial small subunit ribosomal RNA", at positions 28 to 507 of the family's 1533-position model. The record is from RNAcentral.
GACGAACGCUGGCGGCGUGCUUAACACAUGCAAGUCGAACGGAAAGGCCCCUUUGGGGGUACUCGAGUGGCGAACGGGUGAGUAACACGUGAGUAACCUGCCCUUGACUUCGGGAUAACUUCAGGAAACUGGGGCUAAUACCGGAUAGGAAUCCUUGCUGCAUGGUGGGGGUUGGAAAGCUUCGGCGGUUUUGGUUGGACUCGCGGUUUAUCAGCUUGUUGGUGGGGUAGUGGCUUACCACGGCGUUGACGGGUAGCCGGCCUGAGAGGGGGAGCGGCCACAAUGGGACUGAGACUCGGCCCAGACUCCUACGGGAGGCAGCAGGGGGGAAGAUUGCACAAUGGGCGGAAGCCUGAUGCAGCAACGCCGCGGGCGGGAUGACUGCCUUCGGGUUGAAAACCGCUUUCAGCAGGGGCGAAGCUUGUGGUGACGGUACCUGCAGAAGAAGCACCGGCUAACUACGUG